Molecule: long non-coding RNA, 1227 nt
Organism: Bacillus rossius redtenbacheri
Lineage: Eukaryota; Metazoa; Arthropoda; Insecta; Phasmatodea; Bacillidae
Exons: 2
Source: RefSeq, a predicted model, not a curated record
CACGUCCAGACGAUGCGAUUUUUCGUGCAACUUGCGCUGUGCGCUGCGCGCAUGCAAUAGCGCAUGGCAAGCGCAAGCAGCCUGUGCGUCGAGCGCAUGCGCGUUUACCUGGAAAUCAGUAGCGCGUCUGGUAGCGCACGUGUUCCCGUUGUCAGUGGGUAUCAUCGGCCAUUUCCGUGCGCUACGCCGUGUUUGUCUACACAAGUUUGCAUGUGUUUGUGGUUGACGAGAGUUGUCAGAGUUCAGUUGAUUGAUACUGUGACUGUGCAUAGUGUAUAACAUAAUGUCAGAUAGCCAGGAAAGCACAUUGCAGUUCAUAGAAGACUACCGUAAACAUGAACUCCUGUGGAACACUAGCUUAAAAGAAUACAAAAACAAACAACUUCGAAGGGAUGCCAUCAUUGAACUAGGACGAAAGUAUGGACUAAAUGAAAAAGCUGUGAAAAAUAAGAUCAAAAGCUUACGUUGUUAUUUUAGCAAGGAGCAUGAUAAAGUCCGUAGUGCAAAAUGUGGCAUGUCAGCGAAUGCAAAGGAAGUGCCGUCAUGGUUCGCAUACAAAUCACUGUUGUUUUUGAAAGACACGGCCGUACCAUUUCAGACUGUGGACAGCAUUGAUGACAGCACCAACAAUGAUGACAACAAUGAGAUGAAUGUUCCUGAAGUAAACCAAGACACGCAUGCAGAGGACGAUGUGCUUCAUACUUCUCAUCUCGAAUCUCCGAUAGAGGGAACGUGUGCAGUUGUCAACACUACGAGUUCCAGAAUUAACAAACGAAAGAGUUCGGUGACCAGAGAGGAAGAAGCAUUCAAGAUCAUGAAAAGUGUGUGUGCAAACAUGAAAAUAAACGAUGUGCAUGCUUCCUUUGCAGACUUUGUUGCUCACAAGAUACGGAACCUACCAUCCACUCAAUUACAAAACAUUGCUCACAACCGUAUCACUAACAUUCUCUUUGAGAUCGAGUCCCAGGAUGUUGUUCAAUCAGUCGUCUCUCCAUUCCAACCACUAAAUUACCUGCCAAGCACAAGUUCCACGGGUUCUUCAUCGUCAGAGCAAUAUAUCGAGCUGCGUUUGCCUAAUCAUGAUGAAGCCGUUUAUGGUUUCGGCAACAGCAGUGGUAGCAAUGUGGUUGUGCCUGAGUAAUGUGUUCAUAAAUGUAUUGAAUGCAUCCCGGUAUUCUUAUAUUUUGUAUCCCUACUUUCGUUUCAUAUAAAGUGUAUUGUAUUUAA